GCGGUGAAGUCAGACCGGAAGGACUGGUGGAGCGCUUAGAAGUGAGAAUGCCGGUAUGAGUAGCGAAAGAAGGGUGAGAAUCCCUUCCACCGAAUAUCUAAGGUUUCCUGAGGAAGGCUCGUCCGCUUAGGGUUAGUCGGGACCUAAGCCGAGGCCGAUAGGCGUAGGCGAUGGACAACAGGUAGAGAUUCCUGUACCAGUGCUAAUUGUUUAACCGAUGGGG
This 223-nucleotide ribosomal RNA is filed under the name Listeria monocytogenes. RNAcentral describes it as "partial 23S ribosomal RNA". It matches the Rfam family "Bacterial large subunit ribosomal RNA", at positions 1247 to 1469 of the family's 2925-position model. The record is from RNAcentral. Lineage: Bacteria; Bacillati; Bacillota; Bacilli; Caryophanales; Listeriaceae.